This is a long non-coding RNA of Acyrthosiphon pisum (pea aphid), 1121 nucleotides long. RefSeq lists it as uncharacterized. The transcript is spliced from 3 exons. The record is from RefSeq and is a predicted model, not a curated record. NCBI's taxonomy places the organism in Eukaryota, Metazoa, Arthropoda, Insecta, Hemiptera, Aphididae.
UUAAAAAAUUGUACUGGUAGUUUUUAGGCUCCUUCUUUAGUCGCCGGUCGGCUGUCGGCUAACCUCAAACUUUGUGUCUACACAACACCUAUUCGUUUUCAAAUCGUCCAUUGUUCAAUAUUGUUCAUUCGAUGCGGCCUAUGCGGUUGGUCCUUGGUUCGUUUGUUCUGCUGUACCCACUGCUGGAGUUCAGACAUUUUGUUCGUUGUCGGCCGUUGGCGUUUUAUUCGUGUUAGACGGUAGGUAGUUGGUUGUAGUUUCGUUGCUCAUCAAUCUUAGUAAUGCUCAAUGCAAAAUACAAAUCAUUUUUUUUUUUGUCGCGGUUUCGAUCUCGUGGUUUCAGUAUAGUGUAAUGCAGACGUCAACUCUAAAGGUAAACGUACCCGUCCAGCGUCCGCCGGCCGCCAUUUUUAACACUGCGCGCCGUUGUCCGAUCAUUUCUAUUCGUUAAUUUUAUGCGUUAUCUCCGCGACCGAAGUAAAAAGAUAUUUUGUUGACGUUCGAAUAGGCAUGGCCGAAUAUUGUGCGCGUUACGCUAAUACGCGAAUACGGCUUACGCUAGCCACAUGGUUUCUAUAGGGCCGCGUCCGAAGUUUGACCGCUGCCGCCAUCGUUACCGCAAUAUUAUGUCGACGCAUCGAACGCGCCCAAUGUCGUCGCGUCCUUUCUCGUUCGGCGCCGACGACGAUGAUGCGAAUCCAAUCGCCGUAAUAUUACCGUAAUAUUAUUUAUUUUUUUCCCAUGUUCCCGUUUUGUUUUUGUCCGGCGAAUCAACGCCCCAACGGCAGCCUAACCUAUGGUAUUUGUUUAGGGUGGUCAAUUGACGAGACGCCUACAGCAGUCGUCGCGGGUGCACGCGGUUUGUCGUUCAUCAUAAGCAUCAAGUGAAUGGUGCAAUCCACGAUGGUGAAAACGAUCGGUGGCUCGGUCAUAAUUUAAGGUAACUCAUCGAGUUGAUGUGAUUAAGUUAUUUACGCACUGGACAAAGGCAAACAAUUAAUUAUUUUAUCCCACAGACUUCUAUAAUACACUAGAUACGCAGGGGUUAAAGUGGGAAAAAAUUCCAGGGGGGACUAACGCCUCCAUAUAGUUUUAAGCGUUCCAGAUAUCGGAAGAGCGUC